Molecule: ribosomal RNA, 256 nt
Filed under: uncultured bacterium
Lineage: Bacteria
Description: partial 16S ribosomal RNA
Rfam family: Bacterial small subunit ribosomal RNA
Source: RNAcentral
UGAGGAAUCUUCGGCAAUGGGGCGAACCUACGACGAGCGACGCCGCGUGCGGGAUGACGGCCUUCGGGUCGUAAACCGCUUUUGGGUGGGACGAGACACAGGACGGUACCACCCCAAGAAGUCUCGGCUAACUACGUGCCAGCAGCCGCGGUAAUACGUAGGAGGCGAGCGUUGUCCGGAGUUACUGGGCGUAAAGGGUGCGCAGGCGGUUGGACGCGUCCGUGCUGAAAUCUGUCCGCUUACCGGGCAGGGAGUA